RNAcentral lists this unclassified non-coding RNA (927 nucleotides) under Hevea brasiliensis (rubber tree). Lineage: Eukaryota; Viridiplantae; Streptophyta; Magnoliopsida; Malpighiales; Euphorbiaceae. The record is from RNAcentral.
UCUGGCAUUUCCAGCUAAUAUCUGCACCAGGACAAAUUAAUCACAGAUAUUGAUUGUAAUUCUGUAACAGCUAACCACAAUAUAGUUUUUCUUAGAUUCUAUGAUCUGUUAGAUCCACAAAAGAGAUGAGCAAAAAGUCAAUAAAUUAUUAAAAUCUGGACCCCAGAAAAAUGAUUUAUUGUUAAUAUCACUAAGACAUUUCCUACUAGUUUACUUUGACUAAAUGCAUGGCUCACCAAUCUGCUAGGAUAUACCAAAUGUACAAGGGAAAUGCAACAAAGCAAUUUAAGAAGGAGAAAGUAAGAGUUUUUUGGUCCAAGAAGAGGCUUCACAUCACUAUAUUCAAGCCAACUCAACUACAACACAGUUAGCUACAUAAAUACUUUUUCUCCCUUCUAUUUCAUUCAGCAUCUAACUUUCUAUAAGCCCUUAUGGUGCAAUGAAGCACCCCGACAUCGCUAUGAAUAGGCAAACAGUUGAAUUGCUGUCUGUACAAGUUAGUUGGAUGUCAUGGUAUAGUAAUGACUUGCAGCAUUCUACUAUUGGUUUUAUUUAGCAAACUUGCACUGAAAUAGUAAGGCAAGAUGUCAUUUAAGCAACUAUUAAUUCCAUCAGAUCUCAAAUUCUUAUAUUUUUACUAACAACGCUAGUUUGAAUAUCACUGCAAGACUAAUAAAACAUGAAGCAAUAGCCUUAUAAUGUCUCUGGCCCAGCAACCCCUCAAAUUAUGAACCAGGCCCAAGUCAGGCCAAAAGUUUUGGACCUUGGCUCAGUCCUGGCCUGCCUAUUUAAGCCUAUUUCUUUGAGACGAGAUGGAAUGAGCUCAGAAGAAAAACUGCAGAAGUACAAGUUGCUGUACACACAAAUCAAUCAUACUUCACGCAAGAAUACAAACAACUUUAUGACCGCAUAUUUGCAUAAUGAAGC